GAGAUUUGCUUCCUAUUUGGGCUCUGCCAUUGACAAAAUGACCUUGGAUGACCAGCAGGAAGGGGAUGACCUUCCUGCUGGGCUCCAAAUACUAUCUGACCAUGAUGAGGUAGGUGGAUGAUAUCAUCUCUGAGGUAGUGUCUCAACAGUGAGAUGUGGGGAUUUUAAACUCCUGUUCUCAGAGCUUGGGUCUGCAGUGUGUGCCAGCUGGGAGCACAAUCACUGUGUCACCUCCCUAGGCUGAUACAUGGGCGUAGGCUCUGCCCUCAUCUGCUAUGCCAAGGGUCAGAGCCACGGCCUGCCAGGAGCCCCCUGGAGCUCCUGGAGCACUGCAUCUGGGACUGCUGGGUUCCUUCAAACUCAGUUCCAGGGAGACCAGGACUGAGAAGAACUGGCUUGCUGAAGGUCCCUCCUGCACCUACGUGGAAGGCCCGAGAGGUCAACUACUGCCCAGGGAUGCAGCCUGGGGCCCAGUGUGGACCUUUGCAUAUCCUGGAGACUGUUACAAUCUGCCUUCAAACCCUCUUACUUCACAGUGUUAUCCAGAAUCCUGUUUUGAUGGCGCCCUGACCCUAGCCCUCAGGAUGGGGCUCACUCAUCCAAAAUCCCAGAGGAAACCAGCACUUGGGGCCUGGUCAUAGAAGAAGAGCCCCAGAUUCAAAUACCAUUACUCCUUUGCAGUUUGGAGGCUGUUUCAAUCAGCCUGCAUAAAGUGCCUGCAUUGUACCCUGCUUGUUAUCUUCAUGCUUUCCUCAUUUAUCCAUCCAGCUGGAGCAAUUUCAGGAGCAUUCCUUGUCAUUCUGUGCAUCAUUUUAAUUUAGUCUUUUUUUUUUUUUUAAUGUAUGCCUGCCUGGCCCCAGCAGUAUAUUUUUCAGAAAGGUGGUUUUGUUUCUAAGGCAACUGAGGGGUCUAUUGUAAUCAAAUAUUGAGCCCCAUUCAAUUGCAAUCUUCUCAUCCUCCCACAGUCUGCUCUGAUUUUUAUGCUGUAUAUUGUGCUGCUUUUCUUCUGCAUCCUCAAUCAGGCAGUCACAUUCAUUUCACUGUAUUGUGCAGAAGCUGCUUAGAAUGCUACUCUAAAUGGCCUAAGAAUAGGCACUAAAAACUUGAUGUCCAUCUCAAAUGCUGAAGUCAAAAUGCACGUGCCCAAUUUCCUUUUUAAAGAACAAAAACCUGGCACAAAAACAGACACUCAGAUCAAUGGAACAGAAUAGAGAACCCAGAAAUGGACCCACAAACGUUUGGCCAACUAAUCUUUGACAAAGCAGGAAGGAAUAUCCAAUGGAAUAAAGACAGUCUCUUUAGCA
RNAcentral lists this long non-coding RNA (1304 nucleotides) under Felis catus (domestic cat). Its description in RNAcentral is "lncRNA (ENSFCAG00000043883.2)". The record is from RNAcentral. Lineage: Eukaryota; Metazoa; Chordata; Mammalia; Carnivora; Felidae.